CGGCCCAGACUCCUACGGGAGGCAGCAGUGGGGAAUUUUGGACAAUGGGCGCAAGCCUGAUCCAGCCAUGCCGCGUGCAGGAUGAAGGCCUUCGGGUUGUAAACUGCUUUUGUACGGAACGAAAAGGUGCCUUCUAAUAAAGGGCGCUCAUGACGGUACCGUAAGAAUAAGCACCGGCUAACUACGUGCCAGCAGCCGCGGUAAUACGUAGGGUGCGAGCGUUAAUCGGAAUUACUGGGCGUAAAGCGUGCGCAGGCGGUUUUGUAAGACAGAGGUGAAAUCCCCCGGGCUCAACCUGGGAACUGCCUUUGUGACUGCAAGGCUGGAGUGCGGCAGAGGGGGAUGGAAUUCCGCGUGUAGCAGUGAAAUGCGUAGAUAUGCGGAGGAACACCGAUGGCGAAGGCAAUCCCCCUGGGCCUGCACUGACGCUCAUGCACGAAAGCGUGGGGAGCAAACAGGAUU
Molecule: ribosomal RNA, 462 nt
Filed under: Aquaspirillum sp. C1
Lineage: Bacteria; Pseudomonadati; Pseudomonadota; Betaproteobacteria; Neisseriales; Aquaspirillaceae
Description: bacterial SSU rRNA
Rfam family: Bacterial small subunit ribosomal RNA
Source: RNAcentral